CCAAUAGCGUAUAUUAAAGUUGUUGCAGUUAAAAAGCUCGUAGUUGAACUUCGGGGUUCACCCAUUGGUCAGGCUUAAUUGUCUGUACUGGUGAGAUGAGUCUCUACCUUCUGAGGAACUUUCAUGCCAUUUAUUUGGUGUGGUUGGAAAUCAGGACUGUUACUUUGAAAAAAUUAGAGUGUUUAAAGCAGGCUAACGUCUGAAUACAUUAGCAUGGAAUAAUGAAAUAGGACGGAUUGAUUCUAUUUCGUUGGUUUCUAGGGUCACCGUAAUGAUUAAUAGGGAUAGUUGGGGGCAUUAGUAUUCAAUUGUCAGAGGUGAAAUUCUUGGAUUUAUUGAAGACUAACUACUGCGAAAGCAUUUGCCAAGGAUGUUUUCAUUAAUCAAGAACGAAAGUUAGGGGAUCGAAGACGAUCAGAUACCGUCGUAGUUCUGACCAUAAACGAUGUCGACUAGCGAUCCGCGGUCGUUGUUCAUAUGACCUCGCGGGCAGCCUUCG
Molecule: unclassified non-coding RNA, 499 nt
Filed under: uncultured Diversispora
Lineage: Eukaryota; Fungi; Glomeromycota; Glomeromycetes; Diversisporales; Diversisporaceae
Description: SSU rRNA
Rfam family: Eukaryotic small subunit ribosomal RNA
Source: RNAcentral